Myotis brandtii (Brandt's bat) is the source of this 579-nucleotide long non-coding RNA. RefSeq lists it as uncharacterized. Lineage: Eukaryota; Metazoa; Chordata; Mammalia; Chiroptera; Vespertilionidae. The record is from RefSeq and is a predicted model, not a curated record. The transcript has 3 exons.
CAGAACCCUCCCCACCCCAAGUCUCGAGUCCCGGGGUCCGGAGGAGGCUUCUGCGGAGAUCUUGGAGACACCCCACUGGGACAGUGUUUUCGGGGCUGCAAGCCCCGUGUUGGGGGUCAGCCGGGAUCUGGGUCACUCUCUGGCCUCAGUCAUGGUGGGUAAACACAGUGUGACCCAGGGACCCGUGGCCAGCCAUCGGCAGGCCUGGAUUCUGGACUCUGGGCCCAGCAGCGCCUGUCCGGGUAAGGCACUGGAGAGCUAUGAAGAAGGAAAAAACAAAUUUCAAAACCGGGGGGGCUCUCCCCGCUUCAAGAAAAUCGAGAAGCCGCGAAACACCGUGGGACCCGCAAGACAUGCUCGUGUCGCGCGCUGUUUUAAAACGUGAGAGACCGAAUCCAGAGAGCCAUCAUUAUGACCCAUCAUUCGCAGGUAAUGACGGAAAAUAAUUUUGACCUAUUGGGGGGGUGGCGGUCCUAGGACCCCUUCCCCGCCCCGAGAGGUAGGGGGAGGGGGCCCCGCUGGGGGAAGGGACCCUCGUGACGGCGAUGGGACCACAGAUGAGACUGGGCCACGGCGAGA